This 518-nucleotide ribosomal RNA is filed under the name uncultured eukaryote. Its description in RNAcentral is "SSU rRNA". It matches the Rfam family "Eukaryotic small subunit ribosomal RNA", at positions 21 to 549 of the family's 1831-position model. The record is from RNAcentral.
UAGUCAUAUGCUUGUCUCAAAGACUAAGCCAUGCAUGUCUAAGUAUAAAUGGUAUACAGUGAAACUGAGAAUGGCUCAUUAAAACAGUUAUAGUUUAUUUGGUAAUCGAAUUUACAUGGAUUACCGUGGUAAUUCUAGAGCUAAUACAUGCUGUAAGCCCGACUUUUCGGAAGGGCCGUAUUUAUUAGAUAACAGACCAAUGCCCCCCCGGGCUUUGUGGUGACUCAUAGUAACUAAUCGGAUCGCAUGGGCCUGUCCCGCGACAAACCAUUCAAGUUUCUGCCCCAUCAGCUUUCGAUGGUAGCGUAUUGGACUACCAUGGCUUUUACGGGUAACGGAGGAUUAGGGUUCGAUUCCGGAGAGGGAGCCUGAGAAACGGCUACCACAUCUAAGGAAGGCAGCAGGCGCGUAAAUUACCCAAUCCUAAUUCAGGGAGGUAGUGACAAGAAAUAAUGGGUCGGAACUAACGUUCCGGGACCGCAAUGAGAUGAAUUUACACCCCUUUUCGGGGAUCAAUU